Molecule: long non-coding RNA, 334 nt
Filed under: Nicotiana benthamiana
Lineage: Eukaryota; Viridiplantae; Streptophyta; Magnoliopsida; Solanales; Solanaceae
Description: long non-coding RNA (NBEN_LNC001919)
Source: RNAcentral
AGCAACAAGGAAAUCCUCCUACAUCAUAUUCACAUACACAAGCUUCAUCAAACAGUAUUCAAGAAAGAGUCACAACAACUGCUGAUCAAUAUGAUUCAACAAUGACCAAAAAGGCAGCAGCAGCAACUGUUUUGAAACAAAGCAAGCAGGACGCAGAGGAAAAUACAGCUCUAAUUCUAAGCUCUAAGUCAUCGGCAAUGUUUGCUGGAGGGAAGAUUCAGACUGUCAAAAGUUAUCCUAUCAUUCCUUAUAAUUAUAUAGAGCAAAAGGAUCACGAAGUUUUCUCAAUCUUCAAUGGACAGAACAAACCAUCAGUUUUAGCUAACAGGAAGGA